Long non-coding RNA from Pyrus x bretschneideri (Chinese white pear), 340 nucleotides. RefSeq lists it as uncharacterized. NCBI's taxonomy places the organism in Eukaryota, Viridiplantae, Streptophyta, Magnoliopsida, Rosales, Rosaceae. The transcript is spliced from 2 exons. The record is from RefSeq and is a predicted model, not a curated record.
GAUAGAGCAAGACGACGGCCCGGACCCGGUCGUCCCCAUAGCCUACAAGGAGCUGUUCACAUAGACCAUGAACUACUUCCGAGCCGUCUUCAGAGCCGACGAGCGAUCGCCUCGCGCCCUUCAGCUCACCACCGAAGCCAUCGAAUUAAAUUCAGGAAACUACACUAUGUGGCAUUACAGGCGCUUAAUACUGGAGACUCUUAAAGCUGAUUUACAGAAUGAACUGGAUUUCACCGAUCAUAUAGCGCAGAUUAACUCCAAAAAUUAUCAGUUGUCGUGAGUUACAAGUCCUUGUAUAGAUUUUAUUGGAACUUCAUAUUGAUUGGCUUGAAUUUUUUCA